Molecule: ribosomal RNA, 233 nt
Filed under: uncultured bacterium
Lineage: Bacteria
Description: partial 16S ribosomal RNA
Rfam family: Bacterial small subunit ribosomal RNA
Source: RNAcentral
CGGACGGGUGAGUAACGCGUGGAUAACCUGCCUCACACUGGGGGAUAACAGUUAGAAAUGGCUGCUAAUACCGCAUAAGCGCACAGUACCGCAUGGUACGGUGUGAAAAACCCAGGUGGUGUGAGAUGGAUCCGCGUCUGAUUAGCCAGUUGCGGGUAACGGCCCACCAAGGCGACGAUCAGUAGCCGACCUGAGAGGGUGACCGGCCACAUUGGGACUGAGACACGGCCCAA